GAAUUUUGGACAAUGGGCGAAAGCCUGAUCCAGCAAUGCCGCGUGCAGGAUGAAGGCCUUCGGGUUGUAAACUGCUUUUGUACGGAACGAAAAGCUUUGGGUUAAUACCCUUGAGUCAUACAGGUACCGUAAGAAUCAGCACCGGCUAACUCAGUGUCCGCAGCCGCGGUAAUACGUAGGGUGCAAGCGUUACUCGGCAUUACUGGGCGUAAAGAGUGCGCAGGCGGUUUUGUAAGACAGAGGUGAAAGCCCCGGGCUCAACCUGGGAACUGCCUUUGUGACUGCAAGGCUAGAGUACGGCAGAGGGGGGUGGAAUUCCGCGUGUAGCAGUGAAAUGCGUAGAUAUGCGGAGGAACACCGAUGGCGAAGGCAACCCCCUGGGCCUGUACUGACGCUCAUGCACGAAAGCGUGGGGAGCAAAC
RNAcentral lists this ribosomal RNA (422 nucleotides) under uncultured bacterium. RNAcentral's name for it is "partial 16S ribosomal RNA". It matches the Rfam family "Bacterial small subunit ribosomal RNA", at positions 359 to 773 of the family's 1533-position model. The record is from RNAcentral.